Molecule: long non-coding RNA, 1203 nt
Organism: Drosophila navojoa
Lineage: Eukaryota; Metazoa; Arthropoda; Insecta; Diptera; Drosophilidae
Source: RefSeq, a predicted model, not a curated record
ACAAUAAAUAACGUCGCGACCAAAUACAAUUCGAAAUUAGUAAAAGAAACACUGAGCGCUGACCUAAUGACUAUUAGGGUGAAGAGCCGAAUGAGAAUAAACUAAAAAGAUCAGUGAAAGCAAAAUAGGAAAUGCACAGAGGGUAGUCUGUGUGCGUAAAGCAAGGCUGAACAAAGAACCGGUCGCUGUCGCUGAGGAUUGUAGCAGAUUUGGUGCCCCUGUCAGACAGGUACUCGCAUGUAUGCAGAAUAAAGGAAAAUCCAGCAGAAAUGAAAAUUGAUAAGCAGCAGCACACAAACGAAUACACCACCAUCAAAACGCAGAUAUAAAUAUACAACACGCGCGCUCUCCCUCGUUCGCUCGCACACAAGCAAUUGAGCACAUUUAAGCAACAUAUGUGCGCAGUAAGCACAUACAGAUAUGUUAAUAAAUUAACAGCUGUUUGCAGCAGCAGCAGUCACCAACACGUGCACAUGCCCUAUAGAAAGAGAGCGAGAGCGAGCGCGCAGAUGUUGGCAAGCGACUUGUUUUGAGUGAAAUCCGUCUAUAUCGCACUCAACUCAUACACACACAGAGAUAGAGUUUACAUAAAGUGAGCGCGCACAUGCUGUGCUGCUAAUCAGCUGUUCUCGGCCGUUUUGUUUAUGUUUUGCUUUUCGUAAGCAGCGCUACGCUGCGCUGUUGGCUGACUGCCCCUUCUUCCUAUGUAUGUGCGAGCGAGCGAGCAAGCGAGCAACGAGUUGGAACUCGUUGUAUGUGUAUUGUGUGUGUGACUUGUCAUGCUUGUUUCGUCGCUGCGAGAACGCAAUGCACGAUCCCGCAUUUAUAUAUACACGUAUACAAACUCAUACAUCCAUAGAUACGUAUGAAAAUACAAUAAGCACACGCGACGAACAAAAGAUAAAAAGCAAAACAAGCAAAAGGCAAUUGUAGCAGCAGCGUAGCACAGCAAACGUGUUGGCGGCAACGGCAACGCCGCCCUUUGCAACGCAGGCAGCGACUUCGCAUCGUCUUGCCUACACUACACAAAAUAACUACUCAAAUCUGACACGAAAACCAACAAAAGCAACCGUCAAUCACAGUAAAACGAAUUGAGUUCAAGGCCGUUUUGAAAUGAAACCAGCAAAACGCUGCCGACAUGAAAAUGUGUUUGAAUUUGAUUUUUUCGCUAGUUUUGUCUAUCUUGCAGCCACAAGUUUUUCA